RNAcentral lists this ribosomal RNA (253 nucleotides) under uncultured bacterium. RNAcentral's name for it is "partial 16S ribosomal RNA". It matches the Rfam family "Bacterial small subunit ribosomal RNA", at positions 524 to 776 of the family's 1533-position model. The record is from RNAcentral.
UACAGAGGGGGCAAGCGUUGUUCGGAAUUACUGGGCGUAAAGGGCGCGUAGGCGGCCUUCUAAGUCGAACGUGAAAUCCCCGGGCUCAACCCGGGAACUGCGUCCGAUACUGGAAGGCUUGAAUCCGGGAGAGGGAUGUGGAAUUCCAGGUGUAGCGGUGAAAUGCGUAGAUAUCUGGAGGAACACCUGUGGCGAAAGCGGCUCACUGGACCACAACUGACGCUGAUGCGCGAAAGCUAGGGGAGCAAACAGG